Molecule: long non-coding RNA, 354 nt
Filed under: Phasianus colchicus (ring-necked pheasant)
Lineage: Eukaryota; Metazoa; Chordata; Aves; Galliformes; Phasianidae
Description: lncRNA (ENSPCLG00000018233.1)
Source: RNAcentral
AUGUUGCUUUGGGCAAAUGCUUGCAAGGCUUUGUGUGGACAAUCUAGUCUUCCUGGAAUAUGUUUGCAUUUCUUCUUCAGAGCACACGUGGAAGGUACUAAGCUUGAUCUUUUGGCCUGGUUAGUGGCUCUGAGCAAGGCUGCGUGUCCUCUGCUUCUGCUGAAGCUACAAGGCAAUGGUCAGGUGAAAGCAGAAACUCAAAGCAAGCACUCUGGGAGCCAAACAGGAGGCUGGCAUGUCCCCCCCGCCACAUGGCACGCAUUUCCCCAGAAGUACCCCUGCCAAGGCCAUGCAUAUCUCUAUAAUUUGGUGCGUUCGGCUCCCCGUCCACAUCCCAUUUGUCUUUACCUCUAG